This 497-nucleotide ribosomal RNA is filed under the name uncultured bacterium. RNAcentral's name for it is "partial 16S ribosomal RNA". It matches the Rfam family "Bacterial small subunit ribosomal RNA", at positions 28 to 507 of the family's 1533-position model. The record is from RNAcentral.
GAUGAACGCUGGCGGCGUGCCUAAUACAUGCAAGUCGAGCGAACAGACGAGGAGCUUGCUCCUCUGACGUUAGCGGCGGACGGGUGAGUAACACGUGGAUAACCUACCUAUAAGACUGGGAUAACUUCGGGAAACCGGAGCUAAUACCGGAUAACAUGUUGAACCGCAUGGUUCAACAGUGAAAGAAGGUUUUGCUGUCACUUAUAGAUGGAUCCGCGCCGCAUUAGCUAGUUGGUAAGGUAACGGCUUACCAAGGCAACGAUGCGUAGCCGACCUGAGAGGGUGAUCGGCCACACUGGAACUGAGACACGGCCCAGACUCCUACGGGAGGCAGCAGUAGGGAAUCUUCCGCAAUGGGCGAAAGCCUGACGGAGCAACGCCGCGUGAGUGAAGAAGGUCUUCGGAUCGUAAAACUCUGUUAGUAUGGAAGAACAAAUGUGUAAGUAACUAUGCACGUCUUGACGGUACCUAAUCAGAAAGCCACGGCUAACUACGUG